RNAcentral lists this long non-coding RNA (6344 nucleotides) under Ananas comosus (pineapple). Its description in RNAcentral is "long non-coding RNA (ACOM_LNC033167)". Lineage: Eukaryota; Viridiplantae; Streptophyta; Magnoliopsida; Poales; Bromeliaceae. The record is from RNAcentral.
CCGGUGAGUACUCCUCGCCUUCUUCGGCUUGCGGUACCCACUGGGAGGGGAGACAUGUUUACAUGUUCUCACCUCCCCCACCAUUUUUCAGGUAUCGCGGGCGAUGAGUAGUGGGACGAGACGUGAGGUACGUGUGUAGCGGUCGAUAGAGCUUCCGACCCAGGUUAUUUCGAUUUAGUUAUUAUCCUUGGUAUUUCUGUUGUUAUAUAGUUUAGUUGGUUUAUGUGGUUCAGUAUUUAUUUACAUUUGAAAAUGUGGAUUUCUGGAUUUUGUAAAAUAAAAGGAUUUCUACCUCUCGUGGUAGCGUUUUUAAAGAAUAAAGGUUCCUGUGUAGGGAACAGUUUUCAAAAGAUUUUUUAUGGAUUUAUGUUUAGACAUUGAAUGUAAAACUGUGAUGUGAAUGGUGAAUGUAUGAAUGUAUAGUUAUCUUUAUACUCAUCUAGUUGUGGUUGUAUCCUGGUUGUACUCUUGUACUUGUGCGACGCCGUGCAAAUACAGGGGAGACUCUGUCCGUGUGAACAGUGGAUCUCCUGUAUUUGUGGCGGAUCUGGCAUACUCUGGGGUCAGAUAUAUAUAUAUAUAAAAAAAAAAAUUCAGACGCUUUUCCGCUUCGUUUUAAACUGAAAAGGGACCCCGGGGCGUGACAGAUUAAAGUGGUAUCAGAGCGAGGUUACAACCACAACACCAUUCACAGGUUGUUUUGAAAAGUAAAAGAAACUGAACCAUUGCUUAGGUUGACCCUUAGGAAGACCUACGGUGUAUAGGCACGUGAGUGCGGGGUUUGGGCUUGUAUCCCGGUGUGCAUUCGAGUUGGGUAAAUUCAGAGUGCAUGGUGUUUUUGUAUGUGUUACGGUUCGCACAAGCUGGUGUCUAAGUUGGGAGUAGUGGCGGUGUACUUUUUCGGACAUCAAGUGGUGGGACGAUAUUCCCCAGGUGUUACCACUCCUGUCAGGUGAGGCCUUGAAGGGCCAAGUGAGAUUUUUUUCGGGCCUAGGCGAGUGUUAUAACUGCCGACGCCCAUGCCACUCUCUCUACUUAGGACACGAGUGCUACUGCGAGUGUCUCUACGGAGACGGUGCUUAGACCAGUUACGGUCGCGACUUCAGUAGGGCUACUAGGGUGUAGCCCAGGGUUUGGAUAGCGGUCGUUCAGCGACUGCAUUGUUAGUGUUGCUUCCACAGACCUUUGGGUAGGGUUGUGAUGCCUACCUAUCCUCCUUGAUUGCUAAUUGGAAUCAGCGGUUCGGGUCUUUUGACCUUUUUCUCGUUCUUCCUUCCUACUAGAGUCGGAUUGACACAAUUUUGGUGUCAAGUUUUCUUUGAGGCAUACAUCGUAUGCGGUUAUUCUAACACCUAAAUUGGUGUGUUGUGGGUUAAUUUGUGGUUGGUGAUAGGUUUCGUCUUGAUUCGAGGGACUCCAGGUUAUUGUCGGAAUUCUCAGAGCUUUGAUUAUAGCUCGGUUGUGGUGCGGAAAUCUGUUAGAGAAACCGUUUCCUAAAGCCUCAGUUAGUACGGUUCGCGGCUUAGUGUAGCUAGCAGCUUUCGGAUGUUGAAAGUUAUAGGACUCCCUGUGAGUCGGUUCAGGGUCGUUCCGAUUUCGAAUGUCGACUUGUAAAGUUGAUGUUUCGAUAGUAAUGGUUGUGAACUCGUGGUUCAGUGAUGAGGAAUCAAGUGGCUUGAUUCUUCAAAGUGUCACACUUCCAACUCGUUGUUGGUAGUGAAUCUUCGGAUAUUUCGCUUUUCUUUUGAUAAGUACAUUGGCUGCAGACAAUAUACUGUCGAAAGUUACGAUGAAAUACCUAUCUUGUCGUUUGGGACUUAUGGAUUGGGUCGAUGUAUUCUCUAGACUGUUUUGUGGGAAAAGCUAGAGUGAUGUCAUCUUUGACCACGUAGCGAGCCUUGGGUUAUUCCUUGGCAGGUUUUGCACAGUUGACUUAUCGUCACUGAUAAAGGGGUUUUGACUCUAGUUCGAGUCUGGGUGUUUGUAGCUCUUUAGUUGUGCUUCCCACAAUUAAAAAGUUUGUUUGGUUAGUAGUAUCGGUCUAUUGUCGAGUGGUUCAGAAUCACAAGUGUGGAGUGACUUGAGCAUGGUUGUUGGCUUUGAUUGUCACCGUAUGUGAUAGCGUAAAAGGUUUGCGACUUGGCUUAACGUGCAAACCUUGAAAUGGCUUGCUUGUCCGGUUAUUUGGUGACAGGUGCCCUUGGGUCUCAAUGAGACAAGUUAUCGGGUGUUGCUGGGAACAUCGAUCGCUAGGGUCCCUUGUAGGACGGCAGCGACAGGGUCUUGUGGAGACCAGUGCUGAGCAUCACCGAUGGUUAGUAUCGCAGUUGCGAUUAGCGACCUGUGCAUCAAGUGGUGGACUUGCAAGAGCAUUCGGUGGUCUGUUGGUACCGGAUUAAGUUUGAGGGGACAAAAUUGUCUAGCUCAAUUGGUAUUGUCAGUUGGAUCUUUUGGGCAGAUGUAAAGUGAGGUCUUGAACCUAGGGCUAUAGAUUGUGGCAGGUGACCUUUCGUUGAUGAGAUUUUGGCAGUUUGUGUGGUUACUGCUGGAGACUGUGGUCUCUAAGGUGAGAGUUUUGACUCAGGUCUUAGAACAACGUUUCAUUUUCACUCAUGGUGAGCAGGUUGACGCUGUUGGAUAGUCGGAGUUUUUCGUUUCAGUCUACGUAAAUAGACUCUAGAUUAAAAUAGUUGUCUCGUGACUUUUCUACGUGAACUUCCAAGGUAGAACGGACCUAAAUUUCUGAAUGUUGAUUAAUUAUCUCAGAAUUGGCAAAUUGGGAUCGAAUAAUCCUAGUCGUGGGACUGUCUUUGUCCGCAGGUUAUAGGAUAGUGUUAAUCCUGGUGAGUUUUGGUCCGUAGAUUUUGGGUUAGUACAUUUUCCCUCGAUUCGUCCAGGUGGAACCGCAGUCCUAUUUUUCCCCUUUCUACGGAAGUUGAUAUAUCCAAAUGUAAUUGACCAGUACUCAAGGGUGAUAUUGCAGAGGUGGAGUAAUAUCCGAAUUCAAUUUCGGUGGGUAUGUGGUCAAGUUUCGGGGACGAAACUUCUUUUAAGGGGGGGAUAAUGUAAGGACUGAGAUUUUUACAGUGCAACUAAACUGUCUGUUGAUGAUGUUUAUGUGUGUAAUUUAAUUACAUAAGCACUCGUCAAGUUUCAGGAGGAAAUGAGCUAAAAUGGAGAAGUUACGCGAUUAUUAGUUUUCACUUAAGUGAAUAGUAACUCCGGUUUUCCGGAGAAGCCACGGAGUAGGGUUGGCUUUCGGCGCGUAUCGGACUCCGUUCUUAGCGAUCCAAUAGCUCGUUUUGAACGGUUCAGCUAUUCUGGAACCAAUGGCAGUGACGGAUUUUAGAUCUGAUGCACGGUUUUCGCGAAAAUCUGAAAAUACAUGUUUCUUGUGUAAUUGUGCAUCAUUUUGGCCUUUUGGAGAGAGAUUGGAUUUCGUCAUGAACCGGAGAUCAAAUCGGAAGAAACGAAAUGCUAGAUUCGAUGCCCUCGUCGUGCUGAACGCGAUGGUGCAAUCCGUUCUGAAAUCCGAUGAACAGAUUGUCGGAUAUUGCAUGAAGUUCGCUAAGGGGUCGAGAGUGGAAAAUCGGGAAAUACGCAAAAGUCGUAAUAUUUUAUGUACCGAAUCGCAUGAGAUCAAACGUGGAGGUGCGUGCACGCGAUUUACUCGCGCUGUGAAGGACUGGGUUGGAAAUAACUAGUUCCGGAGGACUUUGGUGCAAAGUGGCAUAUGGUAUAUAAUAUGCCUUUAGGGUUUCUAUGCACGAAACCCUAGUUUCUGCCGACCUAGUCUCCCAGCUAUGCCCUAGGUAGCUUCAGCAGGUCUCAGCCUUAGCCAUGCGCAUGCCCCGGCCGCCGGCAAGCUGCUCCGGCCACCUGAAAACCACCCUUUCCACCUUCAUCUCCACUAUUCUUCAUCCUUCCUGGCCGUGGAUCACCCAGGGGUCAUCCACUCGCGUCGGGCCCUCUCCUUUGGCCGCGCCCGACCUCCGUCAGCCUCCCCCGCCGGUCGCCGCCGCCCGCGCGCGCCGGCAUUGCUAGUCUGGGCAGCCGCGGCCAGCCUGUGCAGGCUCAGGCCGAGCCCAGGCUGGCUCCCCUCUCGUGCACUGCCGCUGCCUAGAUCGAGCUGCGCCGCCCUUCCCUGGAGNAUAAAAGUUCCCGUGUAGGGAACAGUUUUCAAAGGGUUUUCUGUGAUUUUGUAUCUUAGUAUUUCAAAACCUGUUUCUGUGGUUGGAAAUAUUUUAACUGAUAGAUGUGGAUUUAUGUUUAAAUAUUGAAUGUAAAAAUGUGAAUCUUUGGUGAAUGGUGUAUGAAUAUAUAGCUGUGGUUAUUUGUAUAUUCAUCUGGUUGUGGUUGUAUCAUGUUUGAACUCUUGUACUUAUGCGACGCCGUGCAAAUACAGGGGAGACUCUGUCCGUGUGAACAGUGGAUCUCCUGUAUUUGUGGCGGAUCUGGCAUACCCUAGGGUCAGGUUUUCAAAAAAAAAAAAUUUCAGACGCUUUUCCGCUAUGCUUUAAACUAAAAAGGGACCCCGGGGCGUGACACCGAGACUCUCCACACAUGUCCAGCUGGUGAACCGGCUCUGAUACCAAAUGUAACGACCCAGCCAACUAGCAAUAAUAACUCGUUGGGCCUGGCCAACAACCCAAAAUGCUUAAACCCAGUUAUUAUUACUAGUGUCUAAGUCCCUUAUAAAUCCAAUGACAACCCCUUUCCCAUCCGAUGUGGGACUAUUGGGGUGUCAUAGACUCCCCCAGUUAAGGCCAUGACGUCCUCGUCAGUCCAAUCACACACACAGCCCAAGAUCACCAGGCGAUGUGAGACAGUGGCCGUAAUCGUACCGAGACUCUGCCGGGACCCACGGACUGUCCCGGAACUCUGCCUGGCGGGUUCCCUGGGCAAGCUCGGUCCGAGUCAGCGUAUUACGGCGAUCGGUUUGGGAAACCGAUUCUCGUGGGUUUAUUUGUGGAGUUAUGCCUUUAGGGUUUCUUAGUUGUGGGUUAGACACUAACCCAGUGGACUCUCCUUAGGUCCGGUUGACGUUCUUUUGCAGUUAGGAGACAAGCAUGACAGUUGUACAGGUGGGUACUUCGAUCCGACGUCGGUACAGUGGUGCACGUUCGGUAAUGGUUUCUUACCCUUGCCCUCUUACUAUUACCUAUGUUGAUAUCAUAUUGAGCCUUGCACCUGCUUUUAUAUCUGCAUUCCUCUACUCAGUUAGUUCCAUGUUGAUAUCAUGCUUAGAGUAGAGUUGACUUAUCUGUUCACUAUAUCUGUGAUUUGGUUGGGCGGUUCCCCUACAUUGAUAUCAUAUUGAGCCUUGCACCUGCUUUUAUAUCUGCAUUCCUCUACUCAGUUAGUUCCAUGUUGAUAUCAUGCUUAGUAGUAGAGUUGACUUAUCUGUUCACUAUAUCUGUGAUUUGGUUGGGCGGUUCCCUUAUUUUGAUAUCUAUGACUUGUUCGGUCGAGUUGCUACAGUUCUAUCUUGACAUACGUAGCCGACUAGUUGCUGAUGGCCUAUACGGUCGGUGUGCCCUGAGGGGCUGGAUUGUCGGCUAAUUGCCGAUGGAAGAUCUUUGAGCAUACUACAUUGAUCGCCACUCCAGGUACGCAUUUCACGAACACCAGCGGUCUGAUCCACUGCAAGAGGGUGUUCUUUUCCGGAAAAGUGGUUGGAUUGCCAACUCGUGAGCCCAGGGGUUUUAUUGCGAGGGUAUAUGCUUCUGACCCAGGAGCUUCAUUGCGAGGGUCAUGUACUAUGCUUCUGACCCAGGGGCUUCAUUGCGAGGGUCAGGUACAGGUUGAGCAGUGUGGCAUGGGCCUGAGGUCUUCGGACCAAUAGGGCGGCGAGAUUGGGUACUUUUGAGGUUAUUGUCAGUUGACGCAUGCAUACAGUAACUGUAGUGUUUAUUUUCAGUACAUCCUUAUCUGUUUAUUGUAGCUACUGUUUUAUUUACCUGCAUCUAUACUUGUCAGCUCCUUACAUAUCUCUUUCGUUUAUUAUUGUUGCUACUAUAUUUCCCCUGACCCGUGUUGUUGUAUAACUCUUCCUGAUCCGGUGAGUACUCUUCGCCUUCUUCGGCUUGCGGUACCCACUGGGAGGGGAGAUAUGUUUACAUGUUCUCACCUCCCCCACUAUUUUUUUUAGGUAUCGUGGGCGGUGAGGGUUGAGACGAGACGUGAGAUACGUAGCGGUCGAUAGAGCUUCCGACCCAGAUUAUUUCGAUUUAGUUAUUACCCAUAUUAUUUCUGUUGAUGUAUAGUUUAGUUGGUUUAUGUGGUUCAGUAUUUCAUUACGUUAAAAUAAAAGGAUUUCUGAAUUUUAUAAAAUAAAAGAUUUU